RNAcentral lists this ribosomal RNA (729 nucleotides) under Campylobacter ureolyticus. Its description in RNAcentral is "bacterial SSU rRNA". Lineage: Bacteria; Pseudomonadati; Campylobacterota; Epsilonproteobacteria; Campylobacterales; Campylobacteraceae. The record is from RNAcentral.
UUCGGAGCGUAAACUCCUUUUAUCAGGAAAGAAUAAUGACGGUACCUGAUGAAUAAGCACCGGCUAACUCCGUGCCAGCAGCCGCGGUAAUACGGGGGGUGCAAGCGUUACUCGGAAUCACUGGGCGUAAAGGACGCGUAGGCGGAUUAUCAAGUCUUUUGUGAAAUCUAGUGGCUUAACCACUAAACUGCUUAGGAAACUGAUAGUCUAGAGUAGGGGAGAGGUAGAUGGAAUUCUUGGUGUAGGGGUAAAAUCCGUAGAGAUCAAGAAGAAUACCCAUUGCGAAAGCGAUCUGCUGGAACCUAACUGACGCUGAGGCGUGAAAGCGUGGGUAGCAAACAGGAUUAGAUACCCUGGUAGUCCACGCCCUAAACGAUGUAUACUAGUUGUUGCUUUGCUAGUCAAGGCAGUAAUGCAGCUAACGCAUUAAGUAUACCGCCUGGGGAGUACGGUCGCAAGAUUAAAACUCAAAGGAAUAGACGGGGACCCGCACGAGCGGUGGAGCAUGUGGUUUAAUUCGAAGAUACGCGAAGAACCUUACCUGGACUUGACAUCCUAAAAACAUCUAAGAGAUUAGAAAGUGCUAGUUUACUAGAAUUUAGUGACAGGUGCUGCACGGCUGUCGUCAGCUCGUGUCSUGAGAUGUUGGGUUAAGUCCCGCAACGAGCGCAACCCACGUGUUUAGUUGCUAACAGCUSGGCUGAGCACUCUAAACAGACUGCGUUCGCA